RNAcentral lists this ribosomal RNA (1229 nucleotides) under metagenome. Its description in RNAcentral is "bacterial SSU rRNA". It matches the Rfam family "Archaeal small subunit ribosomal RNA", at positions 206 to 1445 of the family's 1478-position model. The record is from RNAcentral.
AGGAUGGGGCCGCGACCGAUCAGGUUGUUGGUGAGGUAACGGCUCACCAAGCCUAUAACCGGUGCGGGCCGUGGGAGCGGGAGCCCGGAGAUGGGCACUGAGACAAGGGCCCAGGCCCUACGGGGCGCAGCAGUCGCGCAAACUUUGCAAUACACGAAAGUGUGACAGGGCUAUCCCGAGUGCCGUCCGCUGAGGAUGGCUUUUACCCAGUCUAGAACGCUGGGGGAAUAAGGAGAGGGCAAGUCUGGUGUCAGCCGCCGCGGUAAUACCAGCUCUCCGAGUGGUGUGGAUGUUUAUUGGGCCUAAAGCAUCCGUAGCUGGCCAAGCCAGUCCCUUGUUAAACCCACCGAAUUAAUCGUUGGAUUGCGGGGGAUACUGCUCGGCUAGGGGACGAGAGAGGCAGACGGUAUUUUCGGGGUAGGGGUGAAAUCCUAUAAUCCCGAGAAGACCACCAGUGGCGAAGGCUGUCUGCUAGAACGCGCCCGACGGUGAGGGAUGAAAGCUGGGGGAGCGAACCGGAUUAGAUACCCGGGUAGUCCCAGCUGUAAACGAUGCAGGCUAGGUGUUUGGACGGCCACGUGCCGUUCUAGUGCCGCAGGGAAGCUGUUAAGCCUGCCGCCUGGGGAGUACGGUCGCAAGAUUGAAACUUAAAGGAAUUGGCGGGGGAGCACCACAAGGGGUGAAGCUUGCGGUUUAAUUGGAGCAACGCCGGAAAUCUCACCGGGAGCGACAGCAGUUUGAAGGCCAGAUUAAAGGUCUUGCCAGACGAGCUGAGAGGAGGUGCAUGGCCGUCGCCAGUUCGUGCCGUGAGGUGUCCUGUUAAGUCAGGCAACGAUCGAGACCCGCGUCCUCUGUUGCAACCAGUCUUGAGCUGGGCACACUGAGGAGACCGCCACUGAUAAAGUGGAGGAAGGAGCGGGCCACGGCAGGUCAGUAUGCCCCGAAUCUCCCGGGCCACACGCGAGCUGCAAUGGCAGGUACAAUGGGUUCCGACCUUGAAAGGGGAAGGCAAUCUCGAAAGCCUGCCGUAGUUGGGAUUGAGGGUUGUAACCCAUCCUCAUGAACAUGGAAUCCCUAGUAAUCGCGUGUCACUAGCGCGCGGUGAAUACGUCCCUGCUCCUUGCACACACCGCCCGUCGUUCCACCCGAGCGAUCCUUGGGUGAGGCGUGGUCUUCCUUGGCUGCGUCGAAUCUGAGUUUCGUAAGGGGGGAAAAGUCGUAACAAGGUG